RNAcentral lists this long non-coding RNA (244 nucleotides) under Panax ginseng (ginseng). Its description in RNAcentral is "long non-coding RNA (PGIN_LNC016120)". The record is from RNAcentral. Lineage: Eukaryota; Viridiplantae; Streptophyta; Magnoliopsida; Apiales; Araliaceae.
CUUACUCUAAUGAAUUCUCUAAGCAUGCUCGGACGAAAGAUUGAUCAAAAGGAAAUCAACCGAAAGCUUCUUAGAGUCAUGCCAAAGCGAUUCGCACCAAAGGUUACUACACUUCAAGACUCGGUCACAAUCAGCACAAUGGAAACUCUUACCUUAUUUGGAGAACUUGAAGAGUUUGAAAACCAACUAAAAUUGUAUGAUGAAGAAGAUGAGGCACCUAAGAAGAAGACCUUGGCUCUACAAG